RNAcentral lists this ribosomal RNA (497 nucleotides) under uncultured bacterium. RNAcentral's name for it is "partial 16S ribosomal RNA". It matches the Rfam family "Bacterial small subunit ribosomal RNA", at positions 28 to 507 of the family's 1533-position model. The record is from RNAcentral.
GAUGAACGCUGGCGGCGUGCCUAAUACAUGCAAGUCGAGCGAACAGAUGAGGAGCUUGCUCCUCUGACGUUAGCGGCGGACGGGUGAGUAACACGUGGAUAACCUACCUAUAAGACUGGGAUAACUUCGGGAAACCGGAGCUAAUACCGGAUAAUAUAUUGAACCGCAUGGUUCAAUAGUGAAAGACGGUUUUGCUGUCACUUAUAGAUGGAUCCGCGCCGCAUUAGCUAGUUGGUAAGGUAACGGCUUACCAAGGCAACGAUGCGUAGCCGACCUGAGAGGGUGAUCGGCCACACUGGAACUGAGACACGGUCCAGACUCCUACGGGAGGCAGCAGUAGGGAAUCUUCCGCAAUGGGCGAAUGCCUGACGGUGCAACGCCGCGUGAGUGAUGAAGGUCUUCGGAUCGUAAAACUCUGUUAUUAGGGAAGAACAAAUGUGUAAGUAACUAUGCACGUCUUGACGGUACCUAAUCAGAAAGCCACGGCUAACUACGUG